This 246-nucleotide ribosomal RNA is filed under the name Clostridioides difficile. RNAcentral's name for it is "partial 23S ribosomal RNA". It matches the Rfam family "Bacterial large subunit ribosomal RNA", at positions 172 to 420 of the family's 2925-position model. Lineage: Bacteria; Bacillati; Bacillota; Clostridia; Peptostreptococcales; Peptostreptococcaceae. The record is from RNAcentral.
UAAUGAGGGGAACUCAGGGAACUGAAACAUCUAAGUACCUGAAGGAAGAGAAAGAAAUUCGAUUCCGUAAGUAGCGGCGAGCGAACGCGGAUUAGCCCAAACCAAUAAAGUUUUCUUUGUUGGGGUUGCGGACAUAUCAUAACGAAGAGGUAUCGUAAUUGAAGAGGUUUGGAAAGACCCACCACAGAAGGUAAUAGUCCUGUAUGUUAAACGAGAAGACUUUAGAUAUGAUCCAGAGUACCACGG